This 273-nucleotide ribosomal RNA is filed under the name Lactiplantibacillus plantarum. Its description in RNAcentral is "Lactobacillus plantarum partial 23S ribosomal RNA". It matches the Rfam family "Bacterial large subunit ribosomal RNA", at positions 2655 to 2925 of the family's 2925-position model. The record is from RNAcentral. Lineage: Bacteria; Bacillati; Bacillota; Bacilli; Lactobacillales; Lactobacillaceae.
AGGAAAUUUGAGAGGACCUGUCCUUAGUACGAGAGGACCGGGAUGGACAUACCUCUGGUGUACCAGUUGUGCCGCCAGGCGCAUCGCUGGGUAGCUACGUAUGGAUGUGAUAAACGCUGAAAGCAUCUAAGUGUGAAACACACCUCGAGAUGAGAUUUCCCAUUCCUUUAUGGAAGUAAGACCCCUGAAAGAUGAUCAGGUAGAUAGGUUAGAAGUGGCAGUGCGGUGACGCAUGAAGCGGACUAAUACUAAUCGGUCGAGGACUUAACCAAG